Molecule: non-coding RNA, 486 nt
Organism: Salvelinus sp. IW2-2015
Lineage: Eukaryota; Metazoa; Chordata; Actinopteri; Salmoniformes; Salmonidae
Source: RefSeq, a predicted model, not a curated record
UGUAUCACACAUCAGAAGGCUUUUUGGCUUGAAACUUGUGUUUAUUUUCUUUAGCGGACAUCCAGUUAUCCUUGGUUCUAUCGUUAUUCUUGACAGGUACACAAUUGGAUAUAUAAGUGGCUGUGUAAUACCGAAGAAAGUCUAAAACUUGUUACAAAACGGUCCCUUGGACGAUAAAUACACUAGCGUAGUGGCUAGUAACGUUAGUAGUUAGCUAAUUCUGUAGCUAAUUAGCUAGCUAGCAACAACAAGGAAAGAUGGGGUCGAUUCUUAGCCGGAGAAUCGCUGGCGUUGAGGAUAUUGAUAUCCAGGCGAAUUCUGCRUACAGAUUUCCACCGAAAUCGGGGAAUUACUUUGCCAGCCAUUUUUUCAUGGGAGGGGAGAAAUUUGACACYCCCCAUCCAGAGGGUUACCUAUUUGGAGARAACAUGGAUCUGAACUUCCUUGGAAAUAGGCCUGUACAAUUUCCGUACGUGACCCCGGCCC